Molecule: ribosomal RNA, 627 nt
Filed under: uncultured bacterium
Lineage: Bacteria
Description: bacterial SSU rRNA
Rfam family: Bacterial small subunit ribosomal RNA
Source: RNAcentral
AGGCUGGGGAUAACAUUUGGAAACAGAUGCUAAUACCGAAUAAAACUUAGUGUCGCAUGACACAAAGUUAAAAGGCGCUUCGGCGUCACCUAGAGAUGGAUCCGCGGUGCAUUAGUUAGUUGGUGGGGUAAAGGCCUACCAAGACAAUGAUGCAUAGCCGAGUUGAGAGACUGAUCGGCCACAUUGGGACUGAGACACGGCCCAAACUCCUACGGGAGGCUGCAGUAGGGAAUCUUCCACAAUGGGCGAAAGCCUGAUGGAGCAACGCCGCGUGUGUGAUGAAGGCUUUCGGGUCGUAAAGCACUGUUGUAUGGGAAGAACAGCUAGAAUAGGAAAUGAUUUUAGUUUGACGGUACCAUACCAGAAAGGGACGGCUAAAUACGUGCCAGCAGCCGCGGUAAUACGUAUGUCCCGAGCGUUAUCCGGAUUUAUUGGGCGUAAAGCGAGCGCAGACGGUUUAUUAAGUCUGAUGUGAAAGCCCGGAGCUCAACUCCGGAAUGGCAUUGGAAACUGGUUAACUUGAGUGCAGUAGAGGUAAGUGGAACUCCAUGUGUAGCGGUGGAAUGCGUAGAUAUAUGGAAGAACACCAGUGGCGAAGGCGGCUUACUGGACUGCAACUGACGUUGA